ACGGGAGGCAGCAGUGGGGGAUAUUGCACAAUGGGCGAAAGCCUGAUGCAGCAACGCCGCGUGAGGGAAGACGGUUUUCGGAUUGUAAACCUCUGUCUUCGGUGACGAACAAAUGACGGUAGCCGAGGAGGAAGCCACGGCUAACUACGUGCCAGCAGCCGCGGUAAUACGUAGGUGGCAAGCGUUGUCCGGAUUUACUGGGUGUAAAGGGUGCGCAGGCGGGAUAGCAAGUCAGCUGUGAAAACUAUGGGCUUAACCUGUAGACUGCAGUUGAAACUGUUGUUCUUGAGUGGAGCAGAGGUAGGCGGAAUUCCGAGUGUAGCGGUGAAAUGCGUAGAUAUUCGGAGGAACACCAGUGGCGAAGGCGGCCUACUGGGCUCUAACUGACGCUGAGGCACGAAAGCAUGGGGAGCAAACAGGAUUAGAUACCCUGGUA
Molecule: ribosomal RNA, 436 nt
Filed under: uncultured Clostridium sp.
Lineage: Bacteria; Bacillati; Bacillota; Clostridia; Eubacteriales; Clostridiaceae
Also listed under: 1 other name
Description: partial 16S ribosomal RNA
Rfam family: Bacterial small subunit ribosomal RNA
Source: RNAcentral